Molecule: RNA transcript, 3092 nt
Organism: Urocitellus parryii (Arctic ground squirrel)
Lineage: Eukaryota; Metazoa; Chordata; Mammalia; Rodentia; Sciuridae
Gene: Qpctl
Gene name: glutaminyl-peptide cyclotransferase like
Source: RefSeq, a predicted model, not a curated record
CUGGGCCUAAACUCAAUCCGCGGUCCCCGACCGGUUUCAGGGCAAAGCUGCCAUGCCUUCCGGGGGCCGCGGUCGACCCCGGUUGAGGCUCGGGGAACGUGGCCUCACGGAGCCACCCUCAUUGCCCAAGCGCCGCCUGCUACCGCGGGUGCAGCUGUUGCCCGUGCUGCUGCUGGCGCUGGCCGUGGGCUCCGCGUUCUACAUCAUCUGGAGCAGCUGGCACCGCGGGACUGAGGAGCUGUCGCAGGGCCGGCGGCUGCGGGCCCCGCCGAUUGGAAGCCUCCCAGAAGACAGGCUGCGACGGGUGGUGGGGCAACUAGACCCACAGCGUCUCUGGAGUACUUACCUGCGUCCUCUGUUGAUUGUGCGAACCCCUGGUAGCCCAGGCAAUCUCCAAGUCAGAAAGUUCCUGGAGGCCACGCUGAGGACCCUGACAGCAGGCUGGCAUGUAGAACUGGAUCCCUUUACAGCGUUGACGCCCCUGGGGCCACUGGACUUUGGCAACAUAGUGGCCACGCUGGACCCAGGGGCUGCCCAUCACCUCACCCUUGCCUGCCAUUAUGACUCGAAGCUCUUCCCUCCUGGGUCAGGCCCCUUUGUAGGGGCCACGGAUUCGGCUGUGCCCUGUGCCCUGCUACUGGAGCUGGCCCAGGCCCUUGAUCUGUUAUUGAGCAGGGCCAAGGAGCAGGCAGCCCCGGUGACACUACAACUGCUCUUCUUGGAUGGUGAAGAGGCGCUGAAGGAGUGGGGACCCAAGGACUCUCUUUAUGGCUCCCGGCACCUAGCCCAGCUCAUGGAGUCCAUACCCCACAGUCCUGGCCCCACGAGGAUCCAGGCUAUUGAGCUCUUUGUGCUUCUUGAUCUUCUGGGAGCACCCAACCCAACCUUCUACAGUCACUUCCCCCGCACUCUCCGCUGGUUCCAUCGGCUGAGGAGCAUCGAAAAGCGUCUGCAUCGUCUGAACCUGCUGCAGUCUCAUCCCCAGGAGGUGAUGUACUUCCAGCCCGGGGAGCCUCCUGGCUCUGUGGAAGAUGACCACCUCCCUUUCCUCCACAGAGGGGUCCCCGUGCUCCAUCUCAUCUCCACGCCCUUCCCCACCGUCUGGCACACACCUUCUGACUCCGAGGCCAAUCUCCACCCACCCACGGUCUACAACCUGAGCCGCAUCCUCGCUGUGUUCCUGGCCGAGUACCUGGGGCUCUAGCCUGCUGGGUCAGUGCUUGAGGAGGACCUUACUCUAAGGAAGAAGUGCCCACCAGGGCACAUGCCAAGGCACCCAGUGCCAGUGGAGCUCGGCUGGGUCAACCUCCAGCAUGCUAGCUUGUCCUUUCUGACACCUUCGGCUCCUAUCUGUGCUACAAUUGGAAAGUCCAUUUUCCUUUGUCUGAAGCUACCCACGCUUCAAGGACAUGGAAGGGACCACUGUGGGGGUUCUCGAGAGCCAAAGGAACAAGAGCUUGGGCCCUGCCCUGAGGCAAACACUUGGUCUGGAAGGUCUGCAGGGACCAAACGCUGUUCUUUAGUCAGCAAACCAUGGACUGGCAUCUGGAACAGCAGCACCCAACCAAACGAAGUCUCUGUGGCUUGCGUUUGUGUGUCAUUUCAUUCUCCGGAAUGGCAGUCUUGUUCCUGCCCGAGUCAGACCUCUAUCUCCCCAGGGAGGCCCACAGCGGCUGGGCUCAGACAGAACAGAGAUUGAAGCCAAGACCUCGGCGCUCCAGAUCUGCCUGACCCAAUGGGCAACAAACCAGAGUUUUAAGUGGAUCAGAGAUCAAGCUAGUAGGGUGGACAUUAUAUGCGUUUCCUCACUGUACAACUUGAAUUAUCCACAGUAUGACCGAGAAUGCAGUGGUUCCCAAAGUAUCUCAUCAUGGAGCCCCAUAAUUAGGAAGCACCACACAGAACUAGAUUAAGAAACGGCUUCAGAGGAACCAACUGCCCAAGAUCACACAGCUGGGUGUCAUCACUGCAUUUAAAAAAAUUUUCCCUGCUUAUGAUUCACUGGGUUUAUUGGUGUCUCAUCAGUAUGCAAUUCUCAACCAUCACAUCUUUAAAUAUUAUCUUUGCAUCAUCUCUCUUCUGAUUCUGGAAUGUGUGUUGGACCUUCUCACUGUCCUCCAUAACCUUUCUUUCCUAUUUUCUCAGGUUUCUUUUGUGUUUGUGUUUCUGUGUUGCAUUUCUCUCAUUAGGUUUAAUUCAAUAUAUAUGGUCACUAUAGUUUUCAUUUCUACAAGUUCUGUGUGUGGGCUGCCUGCCCCCUUCCCCAAUCUGCUAGGAGAGUUUUUAGUUUGAGGUUCCCUGCUGAUAUUUCCAAGCUCUUAAAUUUUUUUAAAGAAAAAAAUUUUAUGAUAUUUUACUUAAUAUGUGACUGAGUUCUGUCUGAAAACUCUGUGGACCUGUUCAGAGGGUUGUUUCUGCUGGUUCCUGCUUUUAUUGCUUUAUUUCCAUGUGUGGUUGUUUACUAUUCAUUGUCUGAAAGGAUUAUUUGUGGAAUUUUAGAUGACAGUUCCACUGUUUCUGCCCAACCUCUCAGCAAAUGUACCCUGAUCGUACAGGUGAUGUGAACCUGGCUGCAAACCUGUGCAGUCUAUGACCCCCAAUUCUCAGGGUCAAGUUUUUCUUUCCUUUGGUCUUGUGCUCCCCCUGCUUUCCAAACAUCUCCAGGGUCUUCUGGAUCCUGAGUGUGUAGUGCUCUGGGAUCCCCACUCCUUUGGCUCUUAUUAUACUGGGCAGGACUUCAGCCUGUUUGUCCCAGUAAGGAGGUCACAUAGGAAACCCAAGUUUAUCCACUUCAGCAAAUGCCCUGAGGGCAAAAGUGGUUUCAGGGCCCACAUACUUUCCCCUUUUUGUCUCCUGGGUCCUAUGGUAUUUUACUGACCAUCUGAGCUCUUUAGGAAAUUUGUUAUUUCAGUUGUUUUCAGCAGAAGGAGCCAAACUCACACUUGAGGAGAAACCGAAGCUCCACAAAAUCAAACCUAAGAUUCAAACUCAGGUCUCAUUGGUUCUAAAAUCUAAGCAUUGAGUUACUACUAUGAUAUUCCCUAGUCUCUCUGGAUAUUGAUUCCCUGAUAAGAACGUCAGCAACUGCUACU